GAUGAACGCUGGCGGCGUGCCUAAUACAUGCAAGUCGAGCGAACGGACGAGAAGCUUGCUUCUCUGAUGUUAGCGGCGGGCGGGUGAGUAACACGUGGAUAACCUACCUAUAAGACUGGGAUAACUUCGGGAAACCGGAGCUAAUACCGGAUAAUAUUUUGAACCGCAGGGUUCAAAAGUGAAAGACGGUCUUGCUGUCUCUUAUAGAUGGAUCCGCGCUGCAUUAGCUAGUUGGUAAGGUAACGGCUUACCAAGGCAACGAUGCAUAGCCGACCUGAGAGGGUGAUCGGCCACACUGGAACUGAGACACGGUCCAGACUCCUACGGGAGGCAGCAGUAGGGAAUCUUCCGCAAUGGGCGAAAGCCUGACGGAGCAACGCCGCGUGAGUGAUGAAGGUCUUCGGAUCGUAAAACUCUGUUAUUAGGGAAGAACAUAUGUGUAAGUAACUGUGCACGUCCUGACGGUACCUAAUCAGAAAGCCACGGCUAACUACGUG
This 497-nucleotide ribosomal RNA is filed under the name uncultured bacterium. Its description in RNAcentral is "partial 16S ribosomal RNA". It matches the Rfam family "Bacterial small subunit ribosomal RNA", at positions 28 to 507 of the family's 1533-position model. The record is from RNAcentral.